AGAGUUUGAUCAUGGCUCAGAGCGAACGCUGGCGGCAGGCCUAACACAUGCAAGUCGAACGCCCCUUCGGGGGAGUGGCGGACGGGUGAGUAACGCGUGGGAAUGUGCCCUUUGGUACGGAACAACUGAGGGAAACUUCAGCUAAUACCGUAUGUGCCCCACGGGGGAAAGAUUUAUCGCCAUUGGAGCAGCCCGCGUUGGAUUAGGUAGUUGGUGGGGUAAUGGCCCACCAAGCCGACGAUCCAUAGCUGGUCUGAGAGGAUGAUCAGCCACACUGGGACUGAGACACGGCCCAGACUCCUACGGGAGGCAGCAGUGGGGAAUCUUGCGCAAUGGGCGAAAGCCUGACGCAGCCAUGCCGCGUGUAUGAUGAAGGUCUUAGGAUUGUAAAAUACUUUCACCGGGGAAGAUAAUGACGGUACCCGGAGGAGAAGCCCCGGCUAACUUCGUGCCAGCAGCCGCGGUAAUACGAAGGGGGCUAGCGUUGCUCGGAAUUACUGGGCGUAAAGGGCGCGUAGGCGGACAGUUUAGUCGGAGGUGAAAGCCCAGGGCUCAACCUUGGAAUUGCCUUUGAUACUGGCUGUCUUGAGUUCGGGAGAGGUGAGUGGAAUGCCGAGUGUAGAGGUGAAAUUCGUAGAUAUUCGGCGGAACACCAGUGGCGAAGGCGACUCACUGGCCCGAUACUGACGCUGAGGCGCGAAAGCGUGGGGAGCAAACAGGAUUAGAUACCCUGGUAGUCCACGCCGUAAACGAUGAGUGCUAGUUGUCGGCAUGCAUGCAUGUCGGUGACGCAGCUAACGCAUUAAGCACUCCGCCUGGGGAGUACGGUCGCAAGAUUAAAACUCAAAGGAAUUGACGG
This 859-nucleotide ribosomal RNA is filed under the name uncultured bacterium. RNAcentral's name for it is "bacterial SSU rRNA". It matches the Rfam family "Bacterial small subunit ribosomal RNA", at positions 8 to 916 of the family's 1533-position model. The record is from RNAcentral.